This is a non-coding RNA of Doryrhamphus excisus (bluestripe pipefish), 1281 nucleotides long. NCBI's taxonomy places the organism in Eukaryota, Metazoa, Chordata, Actinopteri, Syngnathiformes, Syngnathidae. The record is from RefSeq and is a predicted model, not a curated record.
CUUACUUGUAUGUAUGAACGACGCCAGCCAAAUGUAUUGAGACAGAUGCUAAUUUAAUAACACAGCUAAGUGUCUCUAAACUUUUGGUUUAGCUUAGCUUAACAUAACUCCUACUUCAUUUUGUGUAGCUAUGGUGUCUUAAAAGCACAAUGGUUGUAGUAUUAUGUAGUAUUGUUAUUGUACAAGACGUAGUACAUCUGAAUGACACUGAUCUAAUACUUAAUUUAAAUGUUUUACUUACUUGUAUGUAUGAACGACGCCGGUGAAAAGUAUUGAGACAGAUGCUAAUUUAAUAACACAGAUCCCGGGAUGUGUUCAAGACCAAAAAUGGAUCAAAGUUUGCCAUCACUUGUUUUUUGGGACGGUCACCCGUGCAAUUUGAUCUGAAUAAAGGUGCAGAUCCACGUUAUAAAUUGUACGAGUACGAAGAUGUCCCCCCCUCCUCUCCGUUCUUUGUUUCUUUUUUAAUUAGCGAAGCAUGCUGUUUAACAUUUAAUUGUUCCUCACACGCAUUCUUCUCCUUUCAGUUUACAUGAGUGGGGGGAAGAGGAAAUAAACAUAAUUAAUGUUAGCUUUGAUUAGCCUGCAGUGUGAGAUUGGCUCCACGGUGGCUCAAUACUUAUUAGUAUUUAAUGUUUAUCAACUUGUUUACUUCAGUUGUGAUAAGCUCUGACCUUAUUUUUGCACGCGGUGGUAAAUUGGCAAUUAGGAAAAAAAAAGAGACAAAUAGACUUAAAAUGUAAUCAUGCUUGUGUGUGUGUGUUUUAAGGUGAUAUGAUCACUUUGAAAGUACACAGAAGUAAAUAAAUUGAGGUACAAAAGGUGAUCUGGACUGUCGACCUGCAGUGUAAAUGUAGCUUUGGAGAUAAAGUAGGCGUAUUAGUGAGCACGUGCAGAAAUAUUACAUGGUGGCGAAUGAGGGCUAAAGAAAAAGCUUCUUUUUAAAUGUCAGCCAUGGUGCACUCGUGACAUCGUCCUGUAAGGUUACGGGGGGGGCUAAACUAUAAAAAAUAUAUAUAUGAUUAUGACAGCGAGGACACACACAUGCAAAGGCAAGAAAUGUCCUUUAAUGUAGCGUAGCUUUUGACUACCUCUAAUGUGCCAUAUUGACAUAAUGUAUUUCUAAUGUACUCUAUUUACAUAGCAAAACUUUAUACUGUAGUUACAUCAUUCAUAUCUAAUGUGCCAUAUUUACAUGUUGUGCCUCUGAUAUACUAAUUUUAGAAUCAGAAUGCCCUUUAUUGUCAUUUUAAAUAUAGUAGAAUUAAAUUGCAGCAGCUC